CGCUGGCGGCGUGCUUAACACAUGCAAGUCGAACGGUAAGGCCCUUUCGGGGGGUACACGAGUGGCGAACGGGUGAGUAACACGUGGGUAAUCUGCCCUGCACUCUGGGAUAAGCCUGGGAAACUGGGUCUAAUACCGGAUAUGAGCUUGAAUCGCAUGGUUCGGGUUGGAAAGUUUUUUCGGUGCAGGAUGUGCCCGCGGCCUAUCAGCUUGUUGGUGGGGUAAUGGCCUACCAAGGCGACGACGGGUAGCCGGCCUGAGAGGGUGAUCGGCCACACUGGGACUGAGACACGGCCCAGACUCCUACGGGAGGCAGCAGUGGGGAAUAUUGCACAAUGGGCGGAAGCCUGAUGCAGCGACGCCGCGUGGGGGAUGACGGUCUUCGGAUUGUAAACCCCUUUCAGUAGGGACGAAGCGCAAGUGACGGUACCUGCAGAAGAAGCACCGGCCAACUACGUG
This 459-nucleotide ribosomal RNA is filed under the name uncultured bacterium. Its description in RNAcentral is "bacterial SSU rRNA". It matches the Rfam family "Bacterial small subunit ribosomal RNA", at positions 34 to 507 of the family's 1533-position model. The record is from RNAcentral.